GUUCUUCGUUAAUUCUCUUCCUUCCAUUUUGCAUGUGAAACUCCAUCCGAGUCCCUUCGGACUCCCCGCUUAGCAAAUCAUCGAGUUGGAUUUCUUCGAGUUGGCUUCUUUGUUUUUCGAGUCAAGGGAACCGAUGAUCAGGGGUGAAACAUCGAUUCCAAGCCCCGAAAAGUUUGAAAACAUGCUACAUGUCUGCUAUAUACAGUGGUGUACAGGUAAUGUCUACAUGAUAUACAGACUUAAGUGCAGUGAAUACAAGACUG
RNAcentral lists this unclassified non-coding RNA (263 nucleotides) under Hevea brasiliensis (rubber tree). Lineage: Eukaryota; Viridiplantae; Streptophyta; Magnoliopsida; Malpighiales; Euphorbiaceae. The record is from RNAcentral.